This is an RNA transcript of Trematomus bernacchii (emerald rockcod), 7420 nucleotides long. It is a transcript of the gene named myosin phosphatase Rho interacting protein, with no coding region annotated. The record is from RefSeq and is a predicted model, not a curated record. Lineage: Eukaryota; Metazoa; Chordata; Actinopteri; Perciformes; Nototheniidae. The transcript has 25 exons.
UGUGUUCUCCCCCCUCGCUCUCCUUUGGUAAAGAAGAAAAUAAACCUAUUGCUGCUAACAAGGCUAGUAAUGGAACCAACCCUUAAAUACCGCUUUAGCCCUCUGUGACUGGCCGGGAGGUGCUUCCCCUGCAAGCAGCGUCUCCACCUGGAAGAAAAGCUCUGGAACACUCUGGACUUACGAACCGUCGCCUCUUUAAAAGUCAAGUUAAAUACGCCAGCCAGGAGAGGUUUUCAUUAGCCUAUCUGCAAGUUAGCUGACUGGGCUAGCCGUGGAUGAACUUCGCAUGGAGUGACUGCUGGGAGAGUAGCCUGCUGUCUGACUGCAAGCUUUCUUUUAUCCUUCACAUGGGAGUCUGUUGUUGGCGCUAUCGCCUCGGAGCUUGAAGGCGAGAACUGUGCAAUUGCUGUAUGUGUGGCGUAAGCAAUCACGUUAUUGAUCUGGAGACCCACUGGCAAGCUAACAGGAUAUUAGCCACCUAUCUCCGCUUUGUGGUUGCAGGCCAUGGACUGAGAAGCACCCAUCACUGGCUGAGUGAUGAGAAGGCUGGCUUGAUGGCAGGCGGUGGUUAUUUAUUGGGAAGCAGUAAUUGGAUAAACAGACAAAAGAAGCGUUUGAUUUGAACCCUGGACAAUUCCUGUUGUGCUUUCAAAAUGCAUCGGAGUGCUGGAGCUCUUCCUACGUUGGGAUAGAAGAGACGCACAAGAAAACAGCGGCACUAAAAUACACAAAAGAGAAAUUAUCCCAUAAAGUUCAAAUAAGAGGUGAAAUAUAAUGUCUACCGCAAAAGAAAACCCCUGUAGGAAAUUCCAGGCGAACUUCUUCAACAAAAGUAAAUGUCAGAACUGCUUCAAACCACGGGAGUUACAUCUGUUGACGGACCAGGACCUGACCCAGGCUAAACCUAUUUAUGGUGGAUGGCUGUGUUUGGCCCCUGAGGGAACUGACUUUGACAAUCCUAUGCAGAGAUCCCGGAAAUGGCAACGGAGAUUCUUUGUGCUGUACGAACAUGGCUGUCUGCGCUUUGCCCUGGACGAAUCGCCAAGCACUCUGCCUCAGGGCACAGUGAACAUGAACAUCUGUGUGGAUGUGAUUGACGCCGAGCCAAAGACAGGUCAGAAGAACUCGCUGUGCAUCAUGACCCCGGACCAGGAGUACUUCAUCAGAGGAGAGAAUAAAGAGAUCAUCAACGGGUGGAGUGAACAGCUGGUGGUCUACCCCCGAACCAACAAACAGAACCAGAAGAAGAAACGCAAGGUGGAGCCUACGACCUCUCAGGAGCCAGGUCCAGCUAAGGUAGCAGUGACCGGCUCUGGCAUCCCAGAGGCAGAGAAGGUUCCAGACUCAAGCUCCAUCAUCUGGCAGGAGGAGCUGAACCAGAGAGAAGCAGAGGGGGCUUCAGUCUGGGCCCCCGCUGACCUGCCUCCAGGUUCUCCUCAGACCCAAACAGGAGGCUCUGACGUUAGCUCGGUGAACGGUGACGAGGUGGACCGGGGCAGCCUGGCGCUGCAUGGCUCUGCCCCCCAUCCCCCCAGGGACCUGCUCUCCCCGACGGGCUCCUGCUCCAGCCUGGGGGGCAUCCCACGCUGCCUCUCCCCGGUCCCCAGCGACCCCUUCCCCUCCGGCAGCUCCCUGCUCUCUAACGGCUCUCACAUCAGCGGCUCCGUCAGCUCUCUGGACUCGGACGCCAGCGGCAGCACCGUGACCAGCAACGAAAGCCACCCGGCACACCAGAGGGGGGGCCACGCCUUCAGCCACCACGACACGCCGCGCGCUCGGAGGCUGGAGGCCGAAGCCAGGAAGGCUGAGAAGAGGAGCCGCUACAGGAGCCCCGAGAGGCAGGAGAGGGACGCCGUCCUCAGCCCCGAGAGGAGUCGCUCCGGUGUUAUCGAGAAGUUGGAGGCCUUGGAGCUGGAGAAUCAAGAGAAAAUGGAGGUGGAAGAGUCGGGGGGGAGUGGAUCCAGACAGGGCCGGAGUGAGCAGAGACGCUUCCAAAGAGGGGAUCAGAGACGUGACGUUGGUUCAGAUUUUCCCUCCGCCCUGCCGCCUCUGAGGAGAGCCAAGUCCCUGGACAGGAGGACCACUGAGUCCGUCAUGACGCCGGAUUUACUGAACUUCAAGAAAGGUUGGAUGGUGAAGUUGGAUGAGCAAGGCCAGUGGAAGAAAUACUGGUUUGUUUUGACGGAUCACAGCCUGAGAUACUACAAGGAUUCCAUCGCAGAGGAGGCCUCGGACCUGGAUGGGGAGAUCGACCUGUCCACUUGCUACAAUGUCACUGAAUACCAGGCUCAACGCAACUAUGGAUUCCAAAUACAUACCAAGGAGGGAGUGCAAACGCUGUCGGCCAUGACAGCAGGGAUACGCAGGAACUGGAUCCAAGCAGUGAUGAAGAACGUCCGACCAUCCACCGCCCCUGAUGUGGCAAGUUCUACUGAGGAUCAUGGCUCCUUCUCUCCUCUGGAGGGUCUGGUUAGGCCAGAUGUAACCCCCUCCUCUGAGGCGUCCACAGAGAGAGAAUCCACGGCAGGUGUCAUAAAGAGCCGGGCACGUGAACGCAGAAGAGAAGGCCGCUCUAAGACUUUCGACUGGGCUGAGUUCAGACCCAUCGCUCAGGCUCUGGCUCAGCAGCGGGCGCAAGAGGCAGAGAGCCUCCAUGCUGACCUGGAGCUGGAGCGCAGUCGUAGGAAAGAGGAGAGGCGGAAGCGUUAUGACUCUGUGACUAACUCAGCGCCGGAGCAGACACUUGUUAAAGCUGGAGGGAGGACUGACUGUGAGAGUGCAGAGAGAGUUGGACAAACAGAUCCUUUAGGUCCUGUGUCUUUGGAGAGGCAGCAGAUGGUGGAGGAGGUGAUUGAACAACACUGGCAACAGGUGGAGAAGACACCCAUGAGGGAGGAGAGGAGGGUGACUCUGCCCCCCCCAGUGCAAUCCAGAGAUACUACUGAGCUGGAGCAACUGCUGGAGAAUUACAAGCAAGGGAUAGAGGAGCUGAAGGCUCAGCUGGAGGGCUGUCACCAGCAGCUCCUCGACUCCAGCAAGCACAAGCAGGAGUUGGAGCUGCAGCUGAGAACAGCUCUGGAUAGAGAGCAUGACAUCCGCGCAGGUUACAUCUCCCCGCUGGAGCACCCUUUGGGUCUGGAGGCUGAUGUGACGCCCCAGACGAAGAGGCCCGAACUGGUUAGUUCUCAAGCACAGAGUUUAACAAAGAAGUACCAGGAGACCAAAGAGCUCCUGAAGCUGCAGGAGCUGAAAAAACGCAAUAUGCAGGCACAGCUUGGCCUUUCGCUUUCUCACUCUCCCAUCAAGGAUCCGUACUUUUCUGAACUUCCAAAUCUGUCUAUACCGGAAGGCCCACCCCCUGAACUUGUCGAAAAAACAGUUAGCUUCUUGCUUCAGGACAGUGAUGAGGCAAUUCAAGAACUAGAAGACAUGAUUGCCGGUAGACCUCUGUCCCUAAAGGAGUUGGCAGAAUUAUUGAGAUUCCAUAGUUGUUAUCAAGAGACAGCGGAGAAAAAACAACUUCAGAAGCUCUUGGAGACCUGGAAGUACCAACAGGAGAUAGAAAAUGAAACGUUAAAAAAAAGUUUAGCCAGAGCAGGAGAAAGCAUCCUUGAGUACGAAGCCCGUCUUCUAACCAUUGAGGAUUUGGUCGGAAGGGUUCAAAAGAAAAGUCUAGGAACCCUAAAAAGUCCCUAUGGACCCCUCUCAGAAAUUGAAAACCAUUCAGAGACAAUUGAGAUGGACAAAGGGAUGCUCUCCCAGAAGGUUGAACUUUUAACUAGUGAAAAUGGGGCAUUGAAACAACGGUGUCAGGAGAUCGUGAACCAACUGACAGAGGCUGACAGAGAAAUAGACAGACUUAAAGUUGAGCUGAUCAGCCAGCAAGGCGGUAAACAGCAUCACCUGGUCAUGGAAGAGCUAAAAAUACUAAAAGCAGAACUGGCUGAAAACCAGGCAAACUCUAUAGACAGGGAGUUUUACGAGAGGGAGCUGAAUGAGAAGUCCUUGAGGCUUCAUGAAGCUCUGAUUACGAUGGAGGAGCUCGGCAACACCCUAAAAGAAACUGAGAAGAAGCUCCAGUUGAAAGAGGCAACGCUAAAAGGUCUUGGUUUUAACCCAGAUUAUGAGGAGGAGGAGGAGUUACAUCCAGAGGAAGAACUACUUGAAUCCUCGCAAGCAAAGCUAUUUGAGAUGGAGGCAAACCUUCAUUCUAAAGAAAAGCGCUGUUUGGAACUUGAAGCCAGGAACAGAGAACUAAUGACAUUGAACCAGGAAUCUGAGAAACUCAAUAGAGAGAUGCUAAGAGAAGCAGAAAACCAAAUAACUAUGCUAAGAGAGAAGUUAGAAUUGAAGACGGGUAGAGUUGAAAAGACAAUAAGCGAAUGUGUCGAAGCAGGAAAAACGCAAGUCGAUAAUAAAGGACUGUUAAAGCAAGUGGUAGAAGAGAUUGAGAGGAAGUCUGAGGCGAUUGAUCAGGUUUUAGAGAUGUUAGCAAAGGUAGAUGUUGAUGUAGAGAACACACUCAAUGAUUUAAAAAGCACUUUAUUUAGUUGUUCAAAAGAAGAAGAACCCUGUGUGAGUCAGAAAGACAUGAGGUUGUUAAUAGAGGGAGAGUUCUGGAGCCAGCUGUUGGGGUCAUCCAUAAUCAAACCAGAAGAAGACAGACGCAGCUUUGAUAGAGGUUUGGCACGACAGAUGUUGGCACAGAAGCGCUUGAUGCUCUUGAUUAGGAGGAUUUGUCCACAAGAAAAAGAUGAAAGUGAGGUAGUGACAGAGCCAGAUUUUGCAUCCAUGUACAAAUGGCUUAAUAAUGAAACAAAUGCUCUGAUUAAAAAAGAGUUAAAAGACACCUUGGAGGAAAAGUCAAGUGUUCUGAAACAGAUUGUAUCCAGUGUGAAAUUGGCCAAAGACGACCAGAUUUUGUCUUUGGCUAUAACAAGCUUUGUUCAAGAACAGAAACCGUCCUCGGAUCAUCUGUUUGAUGCCCUAAAAGAAGCCUACAUGUCUUAUGUGAUCACUAGGCUGAAAGUCCAACAUAAACAAGAACUAAAGCAAAACCAGACCGAAGUUGAGAAUGGUAGCUUGGAUUGUCCAAAUUGUCAUCAAUUGAAAGAAGCCACCAAAAACCUUGAGUUGAAACUGGCAUUUAUCCAGAGUCAACUUGCCACAGGGCAACACACUUUCAUCCAGAUGGAAGGAGAGCCCACAGACUCAUUGCACCAAUCCAAUGAGCUUCAUGCCAGGAAGGAACUACAAGAGGUCAAAGACAGCUAUGAGAAGGAAGCUGAAAUGUUGAGGCAUAAAAUAGCUAAGGCCGACGAGAUGCUGCGUAUUCGCUCAGAAGAAAAUGUGAAGGAGAUCAACUCCCUGACAAACUGCAUGGAGAGUCUGAAGGAGAAGCACGAGAUGGAGAGGACGAACCUCAUGGAGAGGUUUGACCGGGAAAUGGAAGAGCUGAGGAGCAUGAUGAGUCCGUCAAACCAAGACAAGAACUCAGCGGAUACCGACAGACCGCCGCAUCUCGCCUCAGCCCACACAUCGACCCUGAAAGAGCGAAUCCGAGAGCUGGUCACCCAGGUCUCGGUCAUGACCCAAGAGAUGAGACGCCGGGAAGAGCAGGGAGACAAUACGACUCUACGACUGAAAUACGAGAAAGACCUGGAAAACCUGAAGGCCACCUGUGAGAGGGGCUUUGCUGCCAUGGAGGAUUCUCAUCAGAAGGUGAUCGAUGAGCUGCAGAAGAAGAACCACAGAGAGCUGGAGAACCUGCAUGCGGAGAAGGAGCGACUGCUUGAAGAGGAGACGGCAGCCACCAUCGCCGCAAUCGAAGCAAUGAAAAACGCCCACCGGUCAGAGCUGGAGAAGGAGCUGGACAAGGCUCGCAAGGCAAACAGCAACACAGAAAACGCAGACAUCGAGGAGAUCCGCAGGCAGCAUGAGGAGGAGCUGUGUUCCUUCCAGCGGGAGAUAGAGGUGUUGUCAGAGCAGUAUUCCCAGAAGUGCCUGGAGAACGCUCACCUGGCCCAGGCUCUGGAGGCCGAGAGGCAGGCCCUGCGGCAGUGUCAGAGGGAGAACCAGGAGCUCAACGCACACAACCAGGAGCUGAACAACCGCCUCGCAGCAGAGAUCACUAAGAUGCGCUCCAUGACGUCUGAGGAUGGAGUAGGAGACUCAAACAUCACAAUACAGGGGAAAGAGCUCUACGAGUUAGAAGUGAUGCUGAGGGUGAAGGAGUCUGAGGUCCAGUACUUGAAGCAGGAAAUCAACUCCCUGAAAGACGAGCUCCAAUCUGCCCAAAGAGACAAGAAAUAUGCAACAGAUAAGUACAAGGACAUCUACACGGAGCUGAGCAUCGUGAAGGCCAAAGCCGAGCGGGACCUGGGCCGGCUCAGAGACCAGCUGCAGCUCGCCCACCAGGCGCUGGGGGAGGCGUCGCUGGAAGAGGUGGAGCGGGGGGGAUACGGUACGGACAAAAGAUAUCAUGAAGUCCAAAAGCAACCCUGACAUCCUGAAGAUGGCGGCUGCUGCAGCCAAACGCUCAGAGCGCACACUGAGGUCAAAGUCUGUGAAUCGAGACAUGCCCUGGGACAGUUAGGGCUGCAGAGGACGUGUAGGCUCCUCCCCCUUCUCCUUUAGAGUCUGAGGGAAGGGCUGACAGCCGAGCAGAGACUCCACCUGUUUGAAAACAAAGACGCGAAGGAGUUCUGACAGUGACGCAUCACGUCUUCUUACCUUGCUGCAUGUUUAGAAGUCCACUAUAGUUUAGCUCUGUAAUUACUUAUUUAGUUACACUACACACUGGUCACACAACACAGAUCAUAUAUUAUUAUUAAAAACAUGGUAUGAAGUUUGAAUUUCAUGUCUAGAUUUUGCAUUCCAUGCACUUCAGUUAACUGUGACAUUUUUUUGUAUCGUUUAUUUUUUUGCUGCCAUGUCUUACUGUAAAUACAGUUUUUAAUUGUCAUGCAUACACUAAAACUAUGAGUGUGUAAGCUACUGUUUUAACUCCCUAGACUAUUGCUUGCCAAAGGCAUAAAUGUGAUGUUUAAAGGCUAAACACAACUGCAUAAGGUGUAGUGCAUAUUAAAAGCAUAGGAAUGAGUCUGGCGUCAAUCAAUCUGAGACACCCGUUGAAAUGCGACAGCUUAAUGCAUUCGGACGGGAUUCACUGACUCUAAUUUAAAUAUAUAUAUAUAUGAACAUUUAUAUAGAUUUUUUUCUUUCUCCAACUGCAAUCAUCGGUCCAGCUGUAUGGGAGUUGUUUGUAGUCGUGUUCAGUGGCAGUCCCUUUUGUAUUUAUUUGAACGGUUGGGAUUUUUCUUUCACAUGCCCAUUCCUUUGUACUCUAUUAUUGUAAAUAUAAAGCAAAUAUACACCAUCUGACUACAGGUUUAUUAGCAAUAAAUAUUUUUGCACCCUU